RNAcentral lists this ribosomal RNA (325 nucleotides) under uncultured bacterium. RNAcentral's name for it is "bacterial SSU rRNA". It matches the Rfam family "Bacterial small subunit ribosomal RNA", at positions 767 to 1084 of the family's 1533-position model. The record is from RNAcentral.
AGCAAAUAGAUACCCAGGUAGUCCACGCCGUAAACGAUGAGUGCUAGGUGUCACGGGCUUUGACCCUCGUGGUGCCGUAGCUAACGCAAUAAGCACUCCGCCUGGGGAGUACGGUCGCAAGACUAAAACUCAAAGGAAUUGACGGGGGUCCCGGCACAAGCGGUGGAGCAUGUGGUUUAAUUCGACGCGACGCGCAGAACCUUACCUGGGCUAGAAAACCACAGGAACCUGGGUGAAAAACCUCGGGGGUUGCCCUUCGGGGUAAGUCUGUGGUUAGGUUGUUGCAUGGCUGUCGUCAGCUCGUGUCGUGAGAUGUUGGGUUAAG